UUCGGGACGAGUAAAGUGGCGCACGGGUCAGUAACGCGUGGAUAAUCUACCCUUAAGAUGGGGAUAACGGCUGGAAACGGUCGCUAAUACCGAAUACGCUCCCGAUUUUAUCAUUGGGGGGAAAGAUGGCCUCUGCUUGCAAGCUAUCGCUUAAGGAUGAGUCCGCGUCCCAUUAGCUAGUUGGUGGGGUAACGGCCCACCAAGGCAACGAUGGGUAGCCGGUCUGAGAGGAUGACCGGCCACACUGGAACUGGAACACGGUCCAGACUCCUACGGGAGGCAGCAGUGGGGAAUAUUGCGCAAUGGGCGAAAGCCUGACGCAGCGACGCCGCGUGAGGGAUGAAGGUUCUCGGAUCGUAAACCUCUGUCAGGGGGGAAGAAACCCCCUCGUGUGAAUAAUGCGAGGGCUUGACGGUACCCCCAAAGGAAGCACCGGCUAACUCCGUGCCAGCAGCCGCGGUAAUACGGAGGGUGCAAGCGUUAAUCGGAAUCACUGGGCGUAAAGCGCACGUAGGCGGCCUGGUAAGUCAGGGGUGAAAUCCCACAGCCCAACUGUGGAACUGCCUUUGAUACUGCCAGGCUUGAGUACCGGAGAGGGUGGCGGAAUUC
This 609-nucleotide ribosomal RNA is filed under the name uncultured bacterium. RNAcentral's name for it is "bacterial SSU rRNA". It matches the Rfam family "Bacterial small subunit ribosomal RNA", at positions 80 to 669 of the family's 1533-position model. The record is from RNAcentral.